GACCAGAAAAUAAAUGCAAAAAUGAAACAACUUUGAGCGGUGGAUCACUCGGCUCGUGC
Molecule: ribosomal RNA, 59 nt
Filed under: Reinia echo
Lineage: Eukaryota; Metazoa; Mollusca; Gastropoda; Stylommatophora; Clausiliidae
Description: partial 5.8S rRNA
Source: RNAcentral